This 466-nucleotide ribosomal RNA is filed under the name uncultured bacterium. RNAcentral's name for it is "partial 16S ribosomal RNA". It matches the Rfam family "Bacterial small subunit ribosomal RNA", at positions 28 to 507 of the family's 1533-position model. The record is from RNAcentral.
GACGAACGCUGGCGGCGUGCUUAACACAUGCAAGUCGAACGGAAAGGCCCAGCUUGCUGGGUACUCGAGUGGCGAACGGGUGAGUAACACGUGGGUGAUCUGCCCUUGACUCUGGGAUAAGCCUGGGAAACUGGGUCUAAUACCGGAUAUGACCUUACAUCGCAUGGUGUUUGGUGGAAAGCUUUUGCGGUUCAGGAUGGGCCCGCGGCCUAUCAGCUUGUUGGUGGGGUAAUGGCCUACCAAGGCGACGACGGGUAGCCGACCUGAGAGGGUGAUCGGCCACACUGGGACUGAGACACGGCCCAGACGCCUACGGGAGGCAGCAGUGGGGAAUAUUGCACAAUGGGCGCAAGCCUGAUGCAGCGACGCCGCGUGAGGGAUGACGGCCUUCGGGUUGUAAACCUCUUUCACCAGGGACGAAGCGUGAGUGACGGUACCUGGAGAAGAAGCACCGGCCAACUACGUG